Daphnia pulex (common water flea) is the source of this 517-nucleotide long non-coding RNA. RefSeq lists it as uncharacterized. The record is from RefSeq and is a predicted model, not a curated record. The transcript has 2 exons. NCBI's taxonomy places the organism in Eukaryota, Metazoa, Arthropoda, Branchiopoda, Diplostraca, Daphniidae.
GGGAGAACGGGGCAGUUAGGGUAGUGUGUAUGUUGGCACUAUCGAUAUUGAGAUAUGUUUUAAUGAAAUUUAAGUGUCAGAAAAAUUCAUGCUUAUGCAACCCGAAAAUCUUCAUCGUUAAAAAAAAAAUCAUUAAAAAAGUCCGAAGGGUUCAGUAAUAAAUGAAACAACAAUUUUGGCGCCUUAAAAUCGUGUCAUCAGCUUUGACAGAUUUUUUCAAUUUACGGGUUUCAGAAAUAGAAUAAAACUUUCAACCAAUAAUAUUCUUGAAGAAAAUUCUUUUCUCUUUCAAUCCGAUUUUUUAGUUUAUUAUUUCUCCUUAGAGGAGUUACUGAAAAAUCAAUUUGAUUAACGACACCUAUUCUUGAGGCAAACUGGCCUGGCAACGUUGGGGCAGUUUGCGGGUAUAACAUCUAUGUCGUCUAAUGUAAAAAUGAUGGUUACAUUUUGAAAGCUGUCACGAAAUGUGUUGCUGAGAAUCAAAAAGUGUGUGAUGUUUCCAAAGCAACCUCCAUCC